CCUACGGGUGGCAGCAGUGAGGAAUAUUGGUCAAUGGGCGCUAGCCUGAACCAGCCAAGCAGCGUGAAGGAUGACUGCCCUAUGGGUUGUAAACUUCUUUUAUAUGGGAAUAAAGUGCAGUAUGUAUACUGCUUUGCAUGUACCUUAUGAAUAAGGAUUGGCUAACUCCGUGCCAGCAGCCGCGGUAAUACGGAGGAUCCGAGCGUUAUCCGGAUUUAUUGGGUUUAAAGGGAGCGUAGGCGGGUUGUUAAGUCAGUUGUGAAAGUUUGCGGCUGAACCGUAAAAUUGCAGUUGAUACUGGCAGCCUUGAGUACAGUAGAGGUAGGCGGAAUUCGUGGUGUAGCGGUGAAAUGCUUAGAUAUCACGAAGAACUCCGAUUGCGAAGGCAGCCUGCUGGACUGUAACUGACGCUGAUGCUCGAAAGUGUGGGUAUCAAACAGGAUUAGAUACCCUAGUAGUC
This 460-nucleotide ribosomal RNA is filed under the name uncultured bacterium. Its description in RNAcentral is "partial 16S ribosomal RNA". It matches the Rfam family "Bacterial small subunit ribosomal RNA", at positions 338 to 795 of the family's 1533-position model. The record is from RNAcentral.